CCUCGCUUCAGCAAGCCAUCGGGAGUGAAUGUGUGAUGCCAGUCGCAGUCCUGGAGUUUGGUGAAACUGCCUGAACCAUCUACGGUCCAGGAGUACAAUGGUGCUCCUGGUACAAUGCAGCUUCUGGAGCUGCACAGUUAACGGUAACUGCUCCUCAGUCCCCAGAGCUUCCCAGCCAGAGAGUUUAGGAGAACUUACGAGUAAUUAACCUUGGUGAUUUCUACCUCAGUGACUAUUAGAGGGCAGCUGGCAAGCUCUUUAUUAACACCAGUCAACUUCAACACAACUGAGGAAGAUGCAGCCUUGUAGACACCACCCACCCCCGGUGAUGGCUCUUUCCAACAGCCAUGCAAAUAGUCUGAAGAAGCUAUGAAGCUGAGAACCCAAAAUUGGGGCCAGGAAGAGCACACAGUCACGUCAGCUUUCAUCUCAUCGAGUCCCAACCUCAUGUCCACCUUGGUGGUGACGAGGACGGCACGGCACCAUCAUGUCUUGUGGAACAGAUUCACAUGAGUUGGGAGGCUGAGCUCACACAGAGCUGGAGUCACAGUCUUGUGAUAUGACAGUACUCUCUCUUGAAUAAAGAGAAUGAAUAAUCAGCCUCUUUGACUGAAGGCGGAGGCCGGCCCUGACUCAUGGAACAUUAGAGAGGUGAGCUCUGGAUUCAACAAUGUGGCUGUGGGUGGCUCAAACAGCCACCAUUCAGUAAGCGUCUGCCACCGGCCAGGCAGUGUGCCAAUCCCCUACACUCUACUCCUCCUGCUGAGCCUAUAAAGACUUUGCUAUUGUCACCCCUAUUUUAGACAAGGGACUUGAGUCUCAGGUGCCUCCAGACGGCAGGCAUUACUCUGGGGAGGGGAAGACUGAGAGUUAAGCAAAGUUGUCCACGUGUCCAGAGAACCCAGGGUCCCUGUUGUUGAGGGUGAAGCCUGACUCUUUCUGAGCCAGAAAUGUGUUUCCAGUGUGGCAGGACACAAAGGGCAUGUGAAGACAGGACACUGUAGGCCAGUCUCACAGGAACAAAUAGGUGGGUAUGGGAGGAGGUGCCACCCCACUUCCAAUUCUUCGACCUCUUUUGUCAGAUUUUUUUCAACUCCCAUACAGUUAAUUCAGAGAAGACAUUAGCCAUUUGGUUCUAUCUGAGCCCAAUGCUAAGUUUCCGUAGCUGGGCGACAAUUCUCUUUUAAUCUUUCAUCUCACAGAGAAAAUUACAUUAAUACAAAAGCUAUAUGGGCUUUCAUCAAAGAGCCAGGAUGCCUUUGUAAAUGUUAGCUGGUGGCGUGUGUCAUCCAUCUCAUUUACGACGAGGAAGCUGAGUCAGAGAGAGGAAAUAUGACUGGGGUUUGGUUAAAAGUAAACCACAGCCACGCAAUAGGCCACAUCUGCUCUUCCAAGUCAAAAGAAAAGAGGGAAGAAACGGUCCAAAAAUACAUGCUGGUAUUACAGCUAAAGCCACGUUCCAGCUACUGUGCGAAGGAGGCCACGUGCACCAGCCCUCUGACCCCACCCUGCCUCCUUCCACCUCUCCCCUCCUCACUCUGGCACUAAACCAGCUGCUGGGUCUUAGAAAAAAAGCAUUCUCUCCCCUGGAGCACUGGUUUUCUUCACCCCCACCAAAAAAUAAUAAAAAAAGAUUAUUG
This 1640-nucleotide long non-coding RNA is filed under the name Equus asinus (donkey). RNAcentral's name for it is "lncRNA (ENSEASG00005038094.1)". Lineage: Eukaryota; Metazoa; Chordata; Mammalia; Perissodactyla; Equidae. The record is from RNAcentral.